RNAcentral lists this ribosomal RNA (374 nucleotides) under Pantoea sp. 191R. RNAcentral's name for it is "bacterial SSU rRNA". It matches the Rfam family "Bacterial small subunit ribosomal RNA", at positions 1003 to 1377 of the family's 1533-position model. The record is from RNAcentral. Lineage: Bacteria; Pseudomonadati; Pseudomonadota; Gammaproteobacteria; Enterobacterales; Erwiniaceae.
GAGAUGCUUUGGUGCCUUCGGGAACUCUGAGACAGGUGCUGCAUGGCUGUCGUCAGCUCGUGUUGUGAAAUGUUGGGUUAAGUCCCGCAACGAGCGCAACCCUUAUCCUUUGUUGCCAGCGGUUCGGCCGGGAACUCAAAGGAGACUGCCGGUGAUAAACCGGAGGAAGGUGGGGAUGACGUCAAGUCAUCAUGGCCCUUACGGCCAGGGCUACACACGUGCUACAAUGGCGCAUACAAAGAGAAGCGACCUCGCGAGAGCAAGCGGACCUCAUAAAGUGCGUCGUAGUCCGGAUUGGAGUCUGCAACUCGACUCCAUGAAGUCGGAAUCGCUAGUAAUCGUAGAUCAGAAUGCUACGGUGAAUACGUUCCCGG